RNAcentral lists this ribosomal RNA (350 nucleotides) under Microbacterium imperiale. RNAcentral describes it as "bacterial SSU rRNA". It matches the Rfam family "Bacterial small subunit ribosomal RNA", at positions 1184 to 1533 of the family's 1533-position model. The record is from RNAcentral. Lineage: Bacteria; Bacillati; Actinomycetota; Actinomycetes; Micrococcales; Microbacteriaceae.
GUCAAAUAUCAUGCCCCUUAUGUCUUGGGCUUACGCAUGCUACAAUGGGCCGGUACAAAGGGCUGCAAUACCGUAAGGUGGAGCGAAUCCCAAAAAGCCGGUCCCAGUUCGGAUUGAGGUCUGCAACUCGACCUCAUGAAGUCGGAGUCGCUAGUAAUCGCAGAUCAGCAACGCUGCGGUGAAUACGUUCCCGGGUCUUGUACACACCGCCCGUCAAGUCAUGAAAGUCGGUAACACCUGAAGCCGGUGGCCCAACCCUUGUGGAGGGAGCCGUCGAAGGUGGGAUCGGUAAUUAGGACUAAGUCGUAACAAGGUAGCCGUACCGGAAGGUGCGGUUGGAUUCACCNUAA